RNAcentral lists this ribosomal RNA (253 nucleotides) under uncultured bacterium. Its description in RNAcentral is "partial 16S ribosomal RNA". It matches the Rfam family "Bacterial small subunit ribosomal RNA", at positions 524 to 776 of the family's 1533-position model. The record is from RNAcentral.
UACAGAGGGUGCGAGCGUUGCUCGGAAUUACUGGGCGUAAAGGGCGCGUAGGCGGACAGUUAAGUCAGAGGUGAAAGCCCAGGGCUCAACCCUGGAAUUGCCUUUGAUACUGGCUGUCUUGAGUGCGGGAGAGGUGUGUGGAACUCCGAGUGUAGAGGUGAAAUUCGUAGAUAUUCGGAAGAACACCAGUGGCGAAGGCGACACACUGGCCCGUAACUGACGCUGAGGCGCGAAAGCGUGGGGAGCAAACAGG